AAAAAGGCGCCUGAUCUCGCAAAUGAUAAAACCCUAACCCUCGGGCCCUCGGAGUCCCAAGCGAGAGAGAGAGCAGAUCUGAGAAAAUGAGAGAUGAGAAACACAGAGAAGGUCUGGAAAUCCUAACAAUGGCAUUGGCUCUGUGAUCGGAGCCUCGUUGUAGAUCAGAGAGUUGAGCGUGCAGAAAGAGAGAGACGACGGGCCAUGAAGAAAAGCUCCUCAAAUGCGAUUCUUGUUUUGCGAGGUUUACGCCUCGAUGUCCGCCAUUGAUCCACGAUCGGAUCCGUUCAAGAGCUCACCGUUGAAAUCGCGUAGUAAUUAACACCAAGACCAGAGAUCUGAUGGGGCUAGGUAUGGGGGUUCCAGGACCCGUCAAAGUUGAUUUUGAAAUUUAGGGUUUACGGAGAUCAUUGUUUUUUAUUUGAUGGAGCGACAUGCCUGAGGAAUUAAUUAGUAGGUUGGUCUUUAAUUCAAAGCAUUAAUGCGUUCGCUGUUUGCUUCCAUUCCAGGUACACUCCCUGGCAGCUUGCUCAAGAUGCGAUAGGGUGCGAUGUGGAUUGAUAGAGGCACUGACAGCGGGCCUUCCCUUAUCUUUAAGGUUUUACUCCUUACUCAUUCAAGCAUGUGGAUGUAUGUUUUUUAUUUUGUAAGAUAUCAUUUUUUGUUUUUAAAUGGAAACAAAAUGAACAAAAAUAAGUUUCCUGAGACAAAUAGCAUAGUAUUUUUGAAAAGUUGAACGAUAUAUCUGACAAAAACAAAAUUGGCACACAUUAUGGGAGCGCUUUGAAAUAGCAUAUUUUUGUUGAAUGAUAUAUUCUGAUAUGAGGGAGUGGGGGACGGUAUCUUACAUAUGGAAUCGGGACAUUGUGACAUUACAUCAGUGAUACACGGUGGUGUGGUGAAUUUAAAAGUAAUCAUUUGUAGCAAUAUCGGAUGGUCUAAUAACCAUGCAUAACUAGACUGUUCAACAACUUGAUGUUCCGACAAAAGAGUACAUCAGAUGAUGGGGUUUCUCUAACUUUCAAUGUAACAUGAGGUUGGAAGACAUUAGAACGUGAAAAAUCAUAAAUGGGUUAGUGCAUUAUUCAAAUAUUGUCGCACACAAUGUUCUAGGCAAUGUCAGUAAUCUGUGUGUUUUAAUUAUACUUCUCUCAACUUUUCAAGUUAGGAUGAGACUGCAAGGAGUCUCAGAAGUUCUCAGUAUUUUCUUUUGCAUCUAUGCACCCAAGCAAUGUUUAUAGGUUAUUACCAUGGAAAUAAAAUUUGAAGCAGUAAAUUUCAUAGAACUAAAAUUUAUCUGCCCACAUUGUCAAAUAUAUACUGAGGAUAGAUUGGCAGUUAUAAAUUUAGAAUCUAUUCAUCUCUCUCUCUCUGGUGUUCUGUUAUAUUUCCUAGUUGUAGUUGGUACAUAUCAAGCUUAAUUUGAUAUAAUUUCUCAUUGUAGCUGUUUAUCAUUCAUUUUUUGUUAUCUAUUGACAAAUACCUUUGGAUUGUGUAAAAGCUGGAAGAUAUAUAACAUAUAUAAUUUCUGUUUUAAUUGUAUUUCCGUGUAUUGGCAGGGAUUCUUUUUGGUAGUAAAAUGUUGUUUAAAAUGAAGUUAUGAAUAUGCAAAUGUAGUAAUAGAGUAUUUUAAAAUGUUUCUUCAGGAUGUUGUGUUCUGGUUUGCGAUCUUUAACAUUCAGUGGUUAUCACACACCAAAUGUUCGUCCUAUGAGUUGCAGUAGUUCUAUGUUCUUUUUUGUUAUUGACAUAACAAACUGUUCUUCUCAUCAUUCCCACUUGUUGCAUUUUAACGCUAAUUUUUUUUAAUUCUAUGGGUUUUUUGAUAUCCUUUUAUAUUGCUAGCUUUCGAGUUUGUCCACUUUUUACAGACAUUAUUCGUUCCUGAAAUGCCAGCGCUGGAGUCUGUUACUGUUAGCCUUUUAUUUUGUAGGUAAUUUUUGAGGAUUGAUGUUUCAUCUAGAGACGGGCAAUGAUGUUUUUUGUUAGUUCGUUCGUUAGUGUGACGCUUUCUUAUGUUUGUUUGUUGUGUCGUACACUUGCACAUUCAGUAGUUAUGCUUCGGUUCAACUUAUUAUUUUGCACAUUGACCAUCUGGUUCAUUUCCGUCUUAUUCCAUUUGUUAUUAUUUCUGAUGGUUCUAAUUUUUUUAUUAAUUGUUUAACUGUUUUUUUCCCAGGAUAUCUAAAACCAGAGGCUACGAGGAUUUCGCCUCAAAUUUCCUUUUUGUUUUUUAACUAAUUUCAUCUAAUUUUAAUCAAAACAAGUCUGUAUAAUAUCAGUUCUUUUAUUUGAGUGAUGCGGAUUGUAGUUUUUACUUGUAUUGUAUGCAUGGUUUUCUUUUUCUUUUGUUAGCCACUUGGAACAUAGAUUCGGCCCUAAGAUUUGUUGGAUCUAUAUUUCAGACCCGCAAUACGAAAUUGGGCCAAUGAAUCGCCCAUAUUCGAU
RNAcentral lists this long non-coding RNA (2448 nucleotides) under Prunus dulcis (almond). RNAcentral's name for it is "sRNA ncRNA". Lineage: Eukaryota; Viridiplantae; Streptophyta; Magnoliopsida; Rosales; Rosaceae. The record is from RNAcentral.